AGCUCUAGCAGCAACUCACCUCCAACUCCUUUCUGUCAAAAUGCCAGACUUUGACGAUGCUGUGCCAGCACCGUGCCAGGUUAUCAAGGAAGACACUGACAAGUGUGUCCGAGAGAAGGGAGCAGAAGACUGCAAAGAUCUGAUUGAUGCAUUCCAGGUCUGCAUAAAAACUCUGUCCGAGGGAUCAUAACAUGUAGUGGAUCUCAUCUUUAAAAAUCCAGUGCUUCAACUCAACUGUAUUGGCAACUUAUUACAUCGGAUUAAACCACCUGAAAACUGAGGGGGGAGUGAAGAUUCUGCACUACUGAUAAUAUAAUCAAUGCACCUGUGAAUGUGUAUGAUAUUAUU
Molecule: long non-coding RNA, 348 nt
Organism: Melanotaenia boesemani (Boeseman's rainbowfish)
Lineage: Eukaryota; Metazoa; Chordata; Actinopteri; Atheriniformes; Melanotaeniidae
Exons: 3
Source: RefSeq, a predicted model, not a curated record